UGCCGAUUCGUGAAACGAUUCGCAAAGAUGCGUGUAAUAACGUGCGAUAGGUUCUAUUGGCCGAAAAGCAACCGUACUUCGGAUUGUCGCACGUUCGUAUCCCACUCUCGCUCGAACAGAUCGGACGAUCUUGCUCGAAGCGCAUGGUAUCCGUAGGAUCGAGAGGGGACGAUGGAGGGGCGAAAAGGACACGAAGGCGAACGAAGCGCGUCGAACGCGCGACUCGGCUCUUUAGUUGAGUACCAGCCACCGUUGGUGUCGUGUCAGGGUGGUCGAUGUGCUCAUUCGUCACGUGUGAGAGAGAGAGAGAGAGAGAAAACGAGUAGCUCAUUAACGAUGGAUUUUUUCUCGUAUAGUGUAUAACCGGUCUGUAGCGGUCGUUCGUUUGUUCGGUCGGUUGUUUCGUCUGUCUGCUGUCUCUGCUGUAUGUCUAUUUAUCUCUCUGUUGGUCGGUAAAAGACGCAAGCGCACGCGCAACGCGUGUCGCGAACAAAAGACAGCGAUACCGACGCGUUUUAAAAGCGUCUCCUCUACUCUCGGUUUUCCUCUCCACCUCUCUCUUUCUUUCACAUGAUUCCAACUUCUCUCUUCCUCCCACGAUACUAAUUCUCCUCUUUCUUUCUUGUCUAUUCCCGUCUCUAUUCAUCUUUGUCAUACACUCGACCUCCGUCCUCCGCUGUGAGGCGCGCGCGUGAAAAUAUAUCCUGGCCGUCUGGCGGUAGCGCCGAAGCAUUCAGUCAAUUAGCCGUAAUGGCACGACCUGCCGCGUCGGUCUCGGCCAAUUAAGUGGUGAUUAGUGCGCGGAACUCUACCAUCGCCUGUAUCUCUCUCACACUCUUUCUACGCGCUCGUGUGUGUGUACUCGACGAUAGAUCGCUUGCGCGCGAGCGCGAUGUUUCUCGUGCGAAGGUGUUUUUCCUCCUACCACAAGAGUUUAGUGUGAAUAGCAACUAUUUGUUCCGUAACACGUCUAUUUUUUCAUAUUUUUUUGCUAUCUACAAUUUGCUAUAAUAGCGUGUGAACGUAACUCGAAUUAAGUUUUUUUCACAUAUUCUUCUGAAAUUUGCGCACAGUACCGUACUCCGUUCGGAAGCUGUAAAUCACGCGUCGACAUCGGAUGAGAGCGGUGGGAGUAUGCGCGAUGAAUGAUGAUACCAGUCGAGUAGUGUUACCGCGCGUUGCGAGCCGUUUGGAAAGUGGAACCGCGCCGAUUCAUCGCAGAGCAAUGACAUUUCUCGUCGCUCCGUGUUCGCUUCGUUGUUAAUAUCCCCUGUUCUCGACUCGCGGCUGCGCUUCAACGCGUUAUGAAAUAACGCGAGCGAGCAUUACCGACGCGUGUUCGAUCGACCAGUGAUUUAUUUUUAACUUAACACGGAAAGAAAAGGUGGUGUGUUAUAAUUAAGAGGAUAAGUGAAUGCGUGCGUUGAUCGAUAAUCGAUGGAUCGACGUGUGGUGGAUGUAGAAAAAUGCAGUUCGAUCGAUUAGAGGAGGUCAGAAAGAAAAAGCGGCCUCCUGCCAUAGUUUCUUGCUAGUUUUGCAGCAUCGCGUGCAUUUCCCUCGAGUCUACGCCGAGAGCGGAGCUCUCGUACGGCAUUAUCCAGAAUGGACUUCCGGGCGCCGCAUCCACUCGUGCAUCCUUCACACGCGGGACAUCCUUACUAUUAUCCAGGUAAGCUCUAACGAAGGAUGGCCGAGGAGGUGCUGGGUAAAAAAAAAAAAAAAAAAAAAGAAAAAAAAAAAAGUAUUGUUCACUGCUUGAAAGAAGUGCCGCGUCUGAUUGGUCAGGGGAACGCCUAUUUUCACGCGCAUUUUUGUUCCUAGCCAUUCGUGUUGGUUUGCCACUCUCGUAUAAUAUUAACAGGCACAUAUAUUAUAAUUGAAUAGUGGACAGACGCAGACAGAUCUCGCUUGACUUCAUAAUUGAAAAUAACUACGUCUUAUUACCGAUAGGUUUCACGAUUUUGAAUAUUCAAGAGAAAUCUCCUAUGAUAUUUUGUAGGCUAAACGCGUGGUCUUCGAGGAGUGGCGGGAA
This 2032-nucleotide long non-coding RNA is filed under the name Apis mellifera (honey bee). Its description in RNAcentral is "uncharacterized LOC107964317". Lineage: Eukaryota; Metazoa; Arthropoda; Insecta; Hymenoptera; Apidae. The record is from RNAcentral.